RNAcentral lists this long non-coding RNA (690 nucleotides) under Elaeis guineensis (African oil palm). RNAcentral describes it as "long non-coding RNA (EGUI_LNC080466)". The record is from RNAcentral. Lineage: Eukaryota; Viridiplantae; Streptophyta; Magnoliopsida; Arecales; Arecaceae.
ACUUCCAUUGCACCCAUUUGAAUUCAUUAGAAGGAACUUCUCAUGAAUUUUUUUCUCACGCCAAGCCCUCUCCAUGCCCCACUUUAAUGUGCCAAUUGAAUGGAUAAGGAUGAUUGGUUGGCCAUUUAAAUUCAAAAUAAAGUUUGAAUUUGAAUGGGCAAUCAAUCUUUGCGCCUUAUCCCUUUUUUAACGCCUCAUUUAUUACAUGAGAAGAUGUUUCUCAUGAAAUCACUCCAUGCAUAAUUUAAGCCACGCCUCACGCCUUUAGUGGAUAAGGAAUGAGUUGGUGUCCAUUUGAAUUCAAAAUUUGAUUUGAAUUCAAAUGUGUAAUUACUCAUCUUUAUCCUUUCUUUUGGAUAAGACGUUUGAUGUUGUUAUAAAAGGAGGAGAUGAGUGGGGCGUGGAAGAAGAAGAUUUUUGGAAAAAAAUUUUGGGGCGUGAGGAUGUCUUGUGCAUGAGAAGGAAGUUCAUAUCCUUCCAAGAGAAAAAGAAAGAAAAGAAAGAAAAGUGGGUGCAAGGUUUCUGGUGAGUUCCCUAGAGUUUUAGCCUGGGGUUCAGGAAGUGAGAAAGUGAGCUACGAGUGUCGUGAGCCCAUAAAAUCUCAGAGAGAUCUUCAACAUCCUCUCAAACAUAUUUGUUGAUGAUCCAGAGCAUCCAAAAAAUCGACAGACAUCGAUCGAAGGAGUCGAU